CGGGUUAUUCUCAUCAAAUCCUUGCUUGCUAGUCUCCUUUGGUUUCUCAUGAGUUUCUAUAGACUUCAUGAGACGCUCCAUCAGGAGAUCGCCAAAUACCAAUCCAUGUUUUUCUGGGCGGGCGAGGGCGACAAGCAGAAAUACCACAUGGUUAGCUGGCCUGACAUCUGCAAGCCCAAGGACCAGGGUGGUCUGGGCAUUUUGUCAUCUCGGCACACGAACAUUGCUCUCCUGACCCGGUGGCUCUGGCGUAUCGCCAAUGGGGAGGGAGGCCUAUGGCUCACCAUCAUCCAUAACAAGUACCUCUGUGGCCAGCCGCUUGCGUUCUGUCAACGCUCGGGCAGAUCCCAGUUCAGGCAAGCGGUGAUUCAGCUCCUGCCCGUGCUUCACAUCGGCACGUCCAUCUCAGUUGGCUCUGGAUCCUCGACCCUGUUUUGGUUUGACCGCUGGCUGGGAGACUCCCCCCUGGCUGCUCGGUUU
RNAcentral lists this ribosomal RNA (480 nucleotides) under Triticum aestivum (bread wheat). Its description in RNAcentral is "partial small subunit ribosomal RNA". Lineage: Eukaryota; Viridiplantae; Streptophyta; Magnoliopsida; Poales; Poaceae. The record is from RNAcentral.